Long non-coding RNA from Oryza brachyantha (malo sina), 504 nucleotides. RefSeq lists it as uncharacterized. The transcript is spliced from 3 exons. Lineage: Eukaryota; Viridiplantae; Streptophyta; Magnoliopsida; Poales; Poaceae. The record is from RefSeq and is a predicted model, not a curated record.
GAGGCAAUUGCGCCUGCGACUUCGACGACGCAGCUGCGCCCAGGCAGCAGGUGAAUUCGCCGAGUUUUUGCUUGCUUUCGCGCCGGCCGCCGGCGGUGCCGCUAAUAUAUAUCAAGGCGAGAGGCCGGCGGCCAGCGCUGAUCGAGCCAGCCGGCGGGUGGGGUACUGUGGUGUCUCGCCGUCACGGGGAGCUGUAGGAACAUGUUCUGCUGUAGAAUUCAUGGUGCUGCACUUCUUACAGCAAGAUGAUGAUAUUUCAGGCAAUGGUCGUAUGAUGCAAUGGUUCAAUCAUGGGUCGUACGUACACGAAUGAUGAAGAAAUCGUUAUCUCAUCUAUUGGAAAUCAUAUUUAUGUAUUUUGCUUAAUGUCACAUUGUUUGUGUGACUUUUGGAUUUGUGAACCAUUAAGUACGUUUUGCUUUAUCCUCUAUUACCUUGUCGGUUAUUUAAUCUUGCACUACUAUGUCCUUCUGUUUAGACCUGGGAGGAUAUUAUGCAUUAAUU